GGAUGAGGCGGCUGCCUGUAUGGGAUCAGUGGGCUGUCUGUAUGGGAUCAGCAGGCUGUUCCUAUGGGAUCAGUGGGCUGUCUGUAUGGGAUCAGCAGGCUGUCACUAUGGGAUCAGUAGGCUGUCCGUAUGGGAUCAGAAGGCUGUCUGUAUGGGAUCAGUAGGAUGUCACUAUGGGAUCAGCAGGCUGUCACUAUGGGAUCACCGCAACGUCACCAUGGGAUCAGAAGGCUGUCUGUAUGGGAUCAGUAGGAUGUCACUAUGGGAUCAGAAGGCUGUCACUAUGGGAUCACCGCAACGUCACCAUGGGAUCAGCAGGCUGUCUGUAUGGGAUCACCAGGAUGUCCCUAUGGGAUCACCAAGCUGUCCCUAUGAGAUCAGCAGGAUGUCACUAUGGGAUCAGCAGGCUGUCUGUAUGGGAUCAGCAGACUGUCCCUAUGGGAUCUGUAGGCUGUCCGUAUGGGAUCAGAAGGCUGACCUAAUGGGAUCAGUGGGCUGUCUGUAUGGGAUCAGCAGGCUGUCCCUAUGGGAUCAGUAGGCUGUCCGUAUGGGAUCAGAAGGCUGUCCGUGUGGGAUCAGUGGGCUGUCUGUAUGGGAUCAGCAGGCUGUCCCUAUGGGAUCAGUAGGAUCUCACUAUGGGACCACCAGGCUUUCCGUGUGGGAUCAGUGGG
RNAcentral lists this long non-coding RNA (671 nucleotides) under Gallus gallus (chicken). RNAcentral describes it as "lncRNA (ENSGALG00010009725.1)". Lineage: Eukaryota; Metazoa; Chordata; Aves; Galliformes; Phasianidae. The record is from RNAcentral.